RNAcentral lists this ribosomal RNA (432 nucleotides) under uncultured Pseudomonas sp. Its description in RNAcentral is "bacterial SSU rRNA". It matches the Rfam family "Bacterial small subunit ribosomal RNA", at positions 954 to 1382 of the family's 1533-position model. The record is from RNAcentral. Lineage: Bacteria; Pseudomonadati; Pseudomonadota; Gammaproteobacteria; Pseudomonadales; Pseudomonadaceae.
AAGCAACGCGAAGAACCUUACCAGGCCUUGACAUGCAGAGAACUUCCAGAGAUGGACGUUGGUGCCUUCGGGAACUCUGACACAGGUGCUGCAUGGCUGUCGUCAGCUCGUGUCGUGAGAUGGUUGGGUUAACGUCCCGUAACGAGCGCAACCCUUGUCCUUAGUUACCAGCACGUUAUGGUGGGCACUCUAAGGAGACUGCCGGUGACAAACCGGAGGAAGGUGGGGAUGACGUCAAGUCAUCAUGGCCCUUACGGCCUGGGCUACACACGUGCUACAAUGGUCGGUACAAAGGGUUGCCAAGCCGCGAGGUGGAGCUAAUCCCAUAAAACCGAUCGUAGUCCGGAUCGCAGUCUGCAACUCGACUGCGUGAAGUCGGAAUCGCUAGUAAUCGUGAAUCAGAAUGUCACGGUGAAUACGUUCCCGGGCCUU